Anopheles funestus (African malaria mosquito) is the source of this 4142-nucleotide long non-coding RNA. RefSeq lists it as uncharacterized. NCBI's taxonomy places the organism in Eukaryota, Metazoa, Arthropoda, Insecta, Diptera, Culicidae. The transcript is spliced from 6 exons. The record is from RefSeq and is a predicted model, not a curated record.
AUUGGCGAUCCAUUGGAUAACGACCGAGUUAUAGGCAAAAGUUGGUGCAAAAAUGAGGAAAAUUUUACAUUUUCUCAAACAGGGUAAGGAACUUGGUUCCUCAAAUAACUUCUGGCACAGACAUCUGAGGGCAUGGCCGUCCAAGAAGAAAAUGUAGCCAUUGUUGCCAUCUAUCGACCACAGGUUAAAGAUUGGCGAUCCGUUGGAUACCGACCGAGUUAUAGGCAAAAGUUGGUGCAAAAAUGAGGAAAAUUUUACAUUUUCUCAAACAGUGUAACGAACUUGGUUCCUCGAAUAAAUUCUGGCACAGACAUCUGAGGGCAAGGCCGUCCAAGAAGAAAAUGUAGCCAUUGUUGCCAUCUAUCGACCACAGGUUAAAGAUUGGCGAUCCGUUGGAUACCGACCGAGUUAUAGGCAAAACUUGGUGCAAAAAUGAGGAAAAUUUUACAUUUUCUCAAACAGGGUAAGGAACUUGGUUCCUCGAAUAACUUCUGGCACCGACAUCUGAGGGCAUGGCCGUCCAAGAAGAAAAUGUAGCCAUUGUUGCCAUCUAUCGACUACAGGUUAAAGAUUGGCGAUCCGUUGGAUACCGACCGAGUUAUAGGCAAAACUUGGUGCAAAAAUGAGGAAAAUUUUACAUUUUCUCAAACAGGGUAAGGAACUUGGUUCCUCGAAUAACUUCUGGCACCGACAUCUGAGGGCAUGGCCGUCCAAGAAGAAAAUGUUGCCAUUAUUGCCAUCUAUCGACCACAGGUUAAAGAUUGGCGAUCCGUUGGAUACCGACCGAGUUAUAGGCAAAAUUUGGUGCAAAAAUGAGGAAAAUUUUCAUUUUUUUUUUGAAUUUUUUCAUUUUUUUUAUUAUUUUUCACUCUUUUUUUUAUUUCAAGCAUUAUUUUAGUGAAAAGAAACUCAUUGUAACCAAUUGGCAUUAAAAUAAAUCAAUUUAAAUUUUUUUGCAAAAUUUCUCAAAAAAAUGGCAAGGGGUACCCCUUAUGAAAUUUUCGAGUUGAAAAUUUUUUAAAAAAUUUUUUCUGAUUUUUUAUUCUUUUUUAAAUUUAAAGCACUAUUUAAGUGAAAAGAAACUUAUUGCAACAAAAUUCGCAUUAAAAUAUAUCACAUUUUUCAAUUUUGCUAAAUUACUCAAAAAUGAGGAAAAUUUUACAUUUUCUCAAACAGGGUAAGGAACUUGGUUCCUCAAAUAACUUCAGGCAAAGACAUCUGAGGGCAUGGCCGUCCAAGAAGAAAAUGUAGCCAUUGUUGCCAUCUAUCGACCACAGGUUAAAGAUUGGCGAUCCAUUGGAUACCGACCGAGUUAUAGGCAAAAGUUGGUGCAAAAAUGAGGAAAAUUUUACAUUUUCUCAAACAGGGUAAGGAACUUGGUUCCUCGAAUAACUUCUGGCACCGACAUCUGAGGGCAUGGCCGUCCAAGAAGAAAAUGUUGCCAUUAUUGCCAUCUAUCGACCACAGGUUAAAGAUUGGCGAUCCGUUGGAUACCGACCGAGUUAUAGGCAAAAUUUGGUGCAAAAAUGAGGAAAAUUUUCAUUUUUUUUUUGAAUUUUUUCAUUUUUUUUAUUAUUUUUCACUCUUUUUUUUAUUUCAAGCAUUAUUUUAGUGAAAAGAAACUCAUUGUAACCAAUUGGCAUUAAAAUAAAUCAAUUUAAAUUUUUUUGCAAAAUUUCUCAAAAAAAUGGCAAGGGGUACCCCUUAUGAAAUUUUCGAGUUGAAAAUUUUUUAAAAAAUUUUUUCUGAUUUUUUAUUCUUUUUUAAAUUUAAAGCACUAUUUAAGUGAAAAGAAACUUAUUGCAACAAAAUUCGCAUUAAAAUAUAUCACAUUUUUCAAUUUUGCUAAAUUACUCAAAAAUGAGGAAAAUUUUACAUUUUCUCAAACAGGGUAAGGAACUUGGUUCCUCAAAUAACUUCAGGCAAAGACAUCUGAGGGCAUGGCCGUCCAAGAAGAAAAUGUAGCCAUUGUUGCCAUCUAUCGACCACAGGUUAAAGAUUGGCGAUCCAUUGGAUACCGACCGAGUUAUAGGCAAAAGUUGGUGCAAAAAUGAGGAAAAUUUUACAUUUUCUCAAACAGGGUAAGGAACUUGGUUCCUCAAAUAACUUCUGGCACAGACAUCUGAGGGCAUGGCCGUCCAAGAAGAAAAUGUAGCCAUUGUUGCCAUCUAUCGACCACAGGUUAAAGAUUGGCGAUCCGUUGGAUACCGACCGAGUUAUAGGCAAAAUUUGAUGCAAAAAUGAGGAAAAUUUUCAUUUUUUUUUUAAUUUUUUGAUUUUUUUUAUUAUUUUUCACUCUUUUUUUAUUUCAAGCAUUAUUUUAGUGAAAAGAAACUCAUUGUAACCAAUUGGCAUUAAAAUAAAUCAAUUUAAAUUUUUUUGCAAAAUUUCUCAAAAAAAUGGCAAGGGGUACCCCUUAUGAAAUUUUCGAGUUGAAAAUUUUUUAAAAAAUUUUUUCUGAUUUUUUAUUCUUUUUUAAAUUUAAAGCACUAUUUAAGUGAAAAGAAACUUAUUGCAACAAAAUUCGCAUUAAAAUAUACCACAUUUUUCAAUUUUGCUAAAUUACUCAAAAAUGAGGAAAAUUUUACAUUUUCUCAAACAGUGUAACGAACUUGGUUCCUCGAAUAAAUUCUGGCACAGACAUCUGAGGGCAAGGCCGUCCAAGAAGAAAAUGUAGCCAUUGUUGCCAUCUAUCGACCACAGGUUAAAGAUUGGCGAUCCAUUGGAUACCGACCGAGUUAUAGGCAAAACUUGGUGCAAAAAUGAGGAAAAUUUUACAUUUUCUCAAACAGGGUAAGGAACUUGGUUCCUCGGAUAACUUCUGGCACAGACAUCUGAGGGCAUGGCCGUCCAAGAAGAAAAUGUAGCCAUUGUUGCCAUCUAUCGACCACAUGUUAAAGAUUGGCGAUCCAUUGGAUACCGACCGAGUUAUAGGCAAAAGUUGGUGCAAAAAUGAGGAAAAUUUUACAUUUUCUCAAACAGGGUAAGGAACUUGGUUCCUCGAAUAACUUCUGGCACAGACAUCUGAGGGCAUGGCCGUCCAAGAAGAAAAUGUAGCCAUUAUUGCCAUCUAUCGACCACAGGUUAAAGAUUGGCGAUCCGUUGGAUACCGACCGAGUUAUAGGCAAAACUUGGUGCAAAAAUGAGGAAAAUUUUACAUUUUCUCAAACAGGGUAAGGAACUUGGUUCCUCGAAUAACUUCUGGCACCGACAUCUGAGGGCAUGGCCGUCCAAGAAGAAAAUGUUGCCAUUAUUGCCAUCUAUCGACCACAGGUUAAAGAUUGGCGAUCCGUUGGAUACCGACCGAGUUAUAGGCAAAAUUUGGUGCAAAAAUGAGGAAAAUUUUCAUUUUUUUUUUGAAUUUUUUGAUUUUUUUUAUUAUUUUUCACUCUUUUUUUUAUUUCAAGCAUUAUUUUAGUGAAAAGAAACUCAUUGCAACCAAUUGGCAUUAAAAUAAAUCAAUUUAAAUUUUUUUGCAAAAUUUCUCAAAAAAAUGGCAAGGGGUACCCCUUAUGAAAUUUUCGAGUUGAAAAUUUUUUAAAAUUUUUUUUCUGAUUUUUUAUUCUUUUUUAAAUUUAAAGCACUAUUUAAGUGAAAAGAAACUUAUUGCAACAAAAUUCGCAUUAAAAUAUACCACAUUUUUCAAUUUUGCUAAAUUACUCAAAAAUGAGGAAAAUUUUACAUUUUCUCAAACAGGGUAAGGAACUUGGUUCCUCAAAUAACUUCAGGCAAAGACAUCUGAGGGCAUGGCCGUCCAAGAAGAAAAUGUAGCCAUUGUUGCCAUCUAUCGACCACAGGUUAAAGAUUGGCGAUCCAUUGGAUACCGACCGAGUUAUAGGCAAAAGUUGGUGCAAAAAUGAGGAAAAUUUUACAUUUUCUCAAACAGGGUAAGGAACUUGGUUCCUCAAAUAACUUCUGGCACAGACAUCUGAGGGCACGGCCGUCCAAGAAGAAAAUGUAGCCAUUGUUGCCAUCUAUCGACCACAGGUUAAAGAUUGGCGAUCCGUUGGAUACCGACCGAGUUAUAGGCAAAAGUUGGUGCAAAAAUGAGGAAAAUUUUACAUUUUCUCAAACAGGGUAAGGAACUUGGUUCCUCGAAUAACUUCUGGCACAGACAUCUGAGGGCAUGGCCGUCCAAGAAG